RNAcentral lists this transfer RNA (86 nucleotides) under Glycomyces terrestris. RNAcentral's name for it is "Glycomyces sp. YIM 121974 tRNA-Leu". It matches the Rfam family "tRNA". Rfam says of the family: Transfer RNA (tRNA) molecules are approximately 80 nucleotides in length. Their secondary structure includes four short double-helical elements and three loops (D, anti-codon, and T loops). Lineage: Bacteria; Bacillati; Actinomycetota; Actinomycetes; Glycomycetales; Glycomycetaceae. The record is from RNAcentral.
GCGCGAGUGGCGGAAUGGCAGACGCGCUGGCUUCAGGUGCCAGUGUCCGCAAGGACGUGGGGGUUCAAGUCCCCCCUCGCGCACGA